GUGUGUUUGCAUGCUAGGCAAUGUGGUGUUUAAGCUUGUACCUGGGAUCGUGUGCCUACCCGAAGUCUAAAUCCGAUUGUGGCUUUGGAUUCAUUCCAUAGCGGGUGAAAGUCCCGUGCGGGUAGGACUAUUGCAAUCUACACGAUCCUCAUAUGUGCAUGCUUUCGAGUCGGAUUGCUUGAGAAUGCAGUCCAAAGUGGGUGGUAAACUCCAUCCAAGGCUAAAUACUGGCACGAGUCCGAUAGUAGACAAGUACCGUGAGGGAAAGUUGAAAAGUACUCUGAAGAGAGAGUAAAUAGUACGUGAAGCCGAUUGCAGGGAAGCUGGUGGAGUCAAGCUUCGUGCUUGAGGGAUUGAUGCUGACAGCAGGUGUGUCAUUUGUAUGCGAGUUUGGUCAACUUGGAAUAAGUUGGGCGUGUUCUGAAUGCGCUUCAAGUCAUUCUGGGUAGACUGUUUGUGGCCAUGCUCGCUUUACUACUCUCAGUAUUGUAUUCCUCGCUGCACAGGCCACAAUCAAAUAAAAAGGCAUGAGGUAUGAAGGGUCUAACUGUGCUUCGGCGGGUGCAAGCUCUCCGUGUGCAGGAUGGCAGGUGCUGUCUUCAGGCCAUCGUGUCUGUUGGUAGUUGUUGUGGUUUCGACCGGCUGGUCUUCAUACUG
Molecule: ribosomal RNA, 657 nt
Filed under: Cichlidogyrus sclerosus
Lineage: Eukaryota; Metazoa; Platyhelminthes; Monogenea; Dactylogyridea; Ancyrocephalidae
Description: partial large subunit ribosomal RNA
Rfam family: Eukaryotic large subunit ribosomal RNA
Source: RNAcentral